Molecule: ribosomal RNA, 386 nt
Filed under: uncultured Desulfocapsa sp.
Lineage: Bacteria; Pseudomonadati; Thermodesulfobacteriota; Desulfobulbia; Desulfobulbales; Desulfocapsaceae
Description: bacterial SSU rRNA
Rfam family: Bacterial small subunit ribosomal RNA
Source: RNAcentral
UUUGGAAACAUAUGAGUGCCUCGCAAGUGGAGCCGAUGACAGGUGCUGCGAUGGCUGUCGUCAGCUCGUGUCGUGAGAUGUUGGGUUAAGUCCCGCAACGAGCGCAACCCUUGUCUUUAGUUGCCAUCAUUAAGUUGGGCACUCUAAAGAGACUGCCGGUGUCAAACCGGAGGAAGGUGGGGAUGACGUCAAGUCCUCAUGGCCUUUAUGACCAGGGCUACACACGUACUACAAUGGCAGGUACAAAGGGCAGCCACUUAGCGAUAAGGCGCGAAUCCCAUAAAACCUGUCUCAGUCCGGAUUGGAGUCUGCAACUCGACUCCAUGAAGUUGGAAUCGCUAGUAAUCGCAGAUCAGCACGCUGCGGUGAAUACGUUCCCGGGCCUU